GAAAAAUGUUAAAGUCGUAAUAUAAUAAAAUAUAUUUAUGAAAGAAAAUAUAUAAAGGUUCAAGUCACAACAUAUGAAUUAGUCUGAUAUGGAAAAAAAGUUAAUUCCAAUGAAAUUGCAAGAACUGGGCAAAACAAAGCCUCAUUGCAUGCAAAUAUCUUAAUUCAUAUAAAAACAAAUGCAAUUUUUAAACUUAUAAAAAAAGAAGUAUCCAACACAAAGAUAAAGUAAAGAAAACACAUGUAUAUUGCAAAUUGGUGCAUUUGUAAACAGACUCAGCUGAUGUUCAGUCGUUUGUUGAUGUGGUUCAUAAAUGUUUCUUGUUUCUCGUGUAAUAUAUAUAAUAGAUUAGACCGUUGGUUUUCCCAUUGGUUUUGUAUUGCAUUUUAUUUGAAAAAUGUUUAAAGUCGUAAUAUAUUAAAAUAUAUCUAUGAAAGAAAAUAUAUAAAGGUUGAAGUCACAACAUAAGAAUUGGUUUUAUGUAAAAAAAAUUGCAAGAACUGUAUAAUACAAAUGCGCAUCCCAUGCAAAUGAUAUCUACAUUUAUAUUUUUAAAAAAAUACUAUGUUUUAACCGAAAAAAAGGAGAAUACAACUAAAAAGAUUGAGUGAAAAGACAUGUAUAUAUAAUUACUUUAUUGUUACAUUUCUAAACAGACUCACAAUAGAACACGGGAUGUGAAAUAACUUUACUCUUUACUGAAAAAGGAGACCAUUUUUCUUUGAUAAAAUCUGAUACAUAAAAGAAAGACAAAUGUCUGAUUUCAUGUAGUCCCAAAUGAUUCAGGUAAACAAAUAUUUUCUCCAGUUGUAUAAGAAAAAGGUAUGGGGCUUUCAAACCAGAAAAGACACAUGAAGACACAGGGAUUUUGAUGAUAUAUAACUGAAAGCAAGAGUAUAAGUGAAUGAAUAAAAUUCAUUUUUAUGCUAACAUUCUUGCAGAUAUAAGUGUAUGCCUCAUAACAAUUGCAUACACAAAGAAACAUAUACAUGGCAGCAGUAUCUAUGUCAAUAUAUGUUGCUGACAAAAUCACAUUAGAAAUACAGUAUUUGUUCUUAACGGAAUAAAUUGCAUACAGAAUAUGUGUUCCUGUUAAAAAAAAAUAUUCUGUAUACCAUUUAUUCCAACAGGAACACAUAUCAUGGUACUAUUUAUAAACAAAAUAUUUCCAAGAGGAAUUUCUAUAAGGCGGUCACGUGAUAAAUAUUGGUCGACAGGUCCUCCUGGCUAAAAUGUAUAUUUCUUUUAGAAACACUGUAUCGUAUAUAAAUGCUUAUGAAUAUAUGGAUAUGUUUAUUCAUAUUUACACAUUCUAUGUACCUUUAUUUUCUUCUCCAUAGUAUUCUUAUUUAAGAUUUCCAGAAAACCAGGGGUUAUUUUUAGUAGCUAGAACUAGUCUUACGAAAGGCAGUUCUUUCUUUGAAGUCUUUAAAAAUGGGUUAAACACUGGCAUGAAGAAAGGUGAUACAUGUACAAUUGAGGAUAUGGUUUCUAUGAAGUUGAACCUAAGGUAUAAUAUAUAGAAAGCUGUGAAAAUUACAAAACUUGAUUGAACAGAUAGGGAUUUUGAAUUGGUGGUCUGAUACCUAUAUACAAGUAACAUUCAAGACAGCUUACUAGAAUCCAAGUUUCAGAAUGAAAGCUUGUAAGCACUGCGACUUACUUGUAGAAAAAAAAAUGUUUAGAAAAAUAACACACGAAACCAAAUUGAGUCCAAAC
RNAcentral lists this long non-coding RNA (1719 nucleotides) under Mytilus galloprovincialis (Mediterranean mussel). The record is from RNAcentral. Lineage: Eukaryota; Metazoa; Mollusca; Bivalvia; Mytilida; Mytilidae.